Mus musculus (house mouse) is the source of this 1278-nucleotide RNA transcript. It is a transcript of the gene named predicted gene, 39572, with no coding region annotated. Lineage: Eukaryota; Metazoa; Chordata; Mammalia; Rodentia; Muridae. The transcript has 2 exons. The record is from RefSeq and is a predicted model, not a curated record.
GAAGUGCCAUCCAUGGGGGAGACAAGACCCAAAUAAGGCACCAGCCUGGCUGCUUGGACACGAGCUGUGGGCUGAGGCAGGGAGUGAGAGGCACCGGCAAUCCAAACCAGACGGGUCUUUCUGGCCAGCCCCCAGCAGGGAGGCUGCCUGGCCUUGCUCCGGGUCCCAGUGUGCUCAUGGAUUUUUGCUCAGGCUGGGCGACUUACCUAAGAGUUCCAGAGGCCUGCAACUUGCUCAGUUCUAACAGACGGGGACACAGUGCCCUCCCCUGGUCCUAGGAACAGCCCUAUGGAUGGGCGAAUAGAAUCCUUCCUGCUUUCCUCCUGGGGAAACCGAGGCAGAGGAAUGAAGUGCCUCCACCUCCCAAAUGUCACGAUUACAGGUGUGUACCAUCACAUCUAGCUUUAUUUCUUAAUUUUAGAGGAGGCUCUCCCUAUGUAGCCCAGGCUGGCCUCAGACUUUUAAUCCUCCUGCCUCAGCCUCCUUAGCGUUAGGAUUAGCAGUGCGUACCACCAUAGCUAGCUUCUUUUUCCUUUUUUCCCCACAGCACUUUCUAUGUGUGCGUGCCAUUGAAGAUGUACUGAUUAUAGCAGUUCCCAGACGACUGGCACUUGUCUGUCCCUUGACUUCAGCUCCUGUCACACCAGGACAAGGACCUUGGCUAUCUUGUACUUGCCAAGAAAAGUCCUGCAGGCACCUUGAUAAAACUUCAGUUGUGAGCACACUCACACACAGGCCAGAAAGCCAUUCACUCCCUGGAAGAACACGAGCCGGCCAAACCGUGCAGGUGACAGACACAGCAGCCCUGAGGUUCAGCACACAGAUGCUCCUGUGGCACACAGGGUGUCCCCGAGUUAUUGACUUGUGGCUGGAAGUCAUUUUCCAAAGAAUUUGGUUUGGGAUAUUUAGCCAAGAGCCAUUAAGAACUAGAAAAAAUGGCCAACAGGGCCGAGGGGGUGGGGCUCAGCUAGCAAAGUGCUCAGUGUGCAUAGUUCAAGCCUUAGCACCAGUGUAAAAACUGGCUGUGGUGUACACGCCUAUAAUCCCUGUGCUGGAGACGUGGAGAUGGGAGGGGGGACCUGAGGCUUACGGCAGCCCAGCCUAGCUGAUUGCCGAGCUCCAGGGCCGGUGGGAGGCCCUGUCUCAAAAGAAAAGUAGGAAGAGCGAGGGAGACACCUAAUAUCAAGCUCCAGACUCCAGAAGCACACACCUGUGCUUGCCCACACAUGUGUACACACACAUAUCCACACACGUGUCACACAUACCCAUGUACACACA